GAUGAAGGUCUCUACCACUGUAAAAUCCCAGAGAAAGGAGAGUCUCCACAGAGCUGGAUCUCAGUCAGAGAUUCACCUAAUAUUCUACCAGUAGUAUUGGCGCUGGGACUGAGUUUAACCCUGUUCCUCAUCAUCAUGCUCUGCGUGUUUUGUUGCUACAAGAAGAAGAAGAAAGGAAAUCAGAAAGAUGCCAGUGUGUCUUCAGUCCAGAAUCAGAAUCCAGGAGCUAUUCCACUGCAGGCUGGAAAUGAUCACAUUUAUGACGAUGUGGGUGCAAAGGAAAAUAAUAACACAGAGGAUACUGAAGCUAACACCAGUGAAAUAACUUAUGCCCAAGUGAAGUUUUCAAAAAAGAAACUCAAAGGGAAAGACAAGGAAGCGACUGAGCCAAGUGAUGUGACUUAUUCCCUCAUUCAGAUGAAAACCUUGACACCUUGCAGUGAAGAUGAAGCCAUUCCUGGGCCAAGUGAUGCCAAUCCUGGGCCAAGUGAUGCCAAUCCUGGGCCAAGUGAUGUCGUUUACUCACAAAUUCAGAUAAAACCCAAGAAACCCAAAGGCAAAGAUGUUAAAGCUGAACCCAGUGAUGUGACUUAUGCUGAAAUAGAUCUGAAGGACAAGAAGAACCUAAAGGAAAAUGAGAACAAGCUGCAAAAGGAUGCUGAUGCUGGACCUAGUGAUGUGACUUAUGCUGAAAUUGAUCUGAAGGACAAGAAGAAACCAAAGAAAAAACCUCCUGUUCCUCCCAAGGGGAAAGGCUGUGCAGCAAGUAAUACAGUCUACUCUGAACUGAAACAGAACCUACAGAGACCCUAAAUCUUCAGCACGGAUUUGAAACUCAAACGGAAACAGUGCCAUGAGUGACCAAGGUCUUCUAAACUGUGAGAAUAUUAAGAACAGUACUGUGCAUUUUUUAGGCACCUGUGAGACUUGUAAAAAAGAAUGUAAAAGCUCUUUUUCUGGGCAGAAAGUGUUUAUUACUCUUUCAUAUAAAUAAUAUCAAUACAAAAAUAUGUGUAAUUUUACAUCACUUUGUUCAUUAAAACAUCUCCAUUGUUCUCCUCAUUGGAGUGUAGUAUAUAUUUUUUUUGUAGAUCUCAUUGUAUAAGCAGCUGGUUUGGUAAAUAAGUGCUUAAUAAUGGUAAAUCAGGUGAGCUGCUGAUGGAAUUGAACAAAUCCACUGGGGCACAGUCCAGGAGAAGCCUGGAUCUAAGACUUGUUCUUCAGACUAGCUCUCAAGAUCCCAACUACUUUCUUCAAAAUGUGAAAUGUUUUAGCUACAUCUGUUCUAAUGGGAUCUGCAGUUUUUACAGCAAACUUAAUCUUAUUUCUGAGAUAAUUGAUUUAUAACAAUGAGCUUACGUGCCUAAAACAUAUGCACAGUACUGGUUGUUGUAGAGGUUUGGUGGGAAGGCUGCACAGAAAAAAUGGUAUUGCAAUAUUAGGUUGUUCUGUAAUAUUUAUUGCAGUGUAAAAAAAUACAGAAAAUUUAAGCUGAUUGUUCCAGAAGUCAAAGAUCCAAUGUCUAGAUUUUAAUAAUGUCCUACAUGUAUUAAAGAUUUAAGUAAAAAUAAUAUUGGACAGAGAUAAUCUGAGAAAAAUAAGAUAUUGGAACAUGAUGUGUAUAAUUUAAUCAUUUUAUCUUGCACUGUGACAUUGCAUUAGUGAUACUGAAAUUAUAUAUACAGGGGUUAGACAAUGAAACUGAAACACCUGGUUUUAGACCACAAUAAUUUAUUGUCCUGACGGACAGAUCUGGUGGAAACAGGAGAGUUGAGGUGCAGACAGCUUCCUCUUGCAUCCACAGUUAAUCCUG
This 1813-nucleotide long non-coding RNA is filed under the name Astyanax mexicanus (Mexican tetra). RNAcentral describes it as "lncRNA (ENSAMXG00005010572.1)". Lineage: Eukaryota; Metazoa; Chordata; Actinopteri; Characiformes; Acestrorhamphidae. The record is from RNAcentral.